This 158-nucleotide ribosomal RNA is filed under the name Singerocybe adirondackensis. Its description in RNAcentral is "5.8S ribosomal RNA". It matches the Rfam family "5.8S ribosomal RNA". From Rfam's summary of the family: 5.8S ribosomal RNA (5.8S rRNA) is a component of the large subunit of the eukaryotic ribosome. Lineage: Eukaryota; Fungi; Basidiomycota; Agaricomycetes; Agaricales; Clitocybaceae. The record is from RNAcentral.
CAACUUUCAACAACGGAUCUCUUGGCUCUCGCAUCGAUGAAGAACGCAGCGAAAUGCGAUAAGUAAUGUGAAUUGCAGAAUUCAGUGAAUCAUCGAAUCUUUGAACGCACCUUGCGCUCCUUGGUAUUCCGAGGAGCAUGCCUGUUUGAGUGUCAUUU